RNAcentral lists this long non-coding RNA (205 nucleotides) under Capsicum annuum. Its description in RNAcentral is "long non-coding RNA (CANN_LNC017523)". The record is from RNAcentral. Lineage: Eukaryota; Viridiplantae; Streptophyta; Magnoliopsida; Solanales; Solanaceae.
UCCUUUUCUAAUAUAUGAUCUCUCCUUUUGAUAUUUUCUCGUGUUUUCUUUUUCAAGAUCAAAAAAUUCGAUGAAGCAAAUAUGUUGCCACCAAAUAAAGUAGCUGAAAAAAAUCAAAGAUUUAUAUAUUAUUUUGAUUCUUAUUUGACUCAUGUUAUUGCGUUCAUUGUCAUCAUCUUCUUUGUCUUUCUUUAUUUGCUUUUUC